GACGAACGCUGGCGGCGUGCUUAACACAUGCAAGUCGAACGAAGAGCGAUGGAAGCUUGCUUCUAUCAAUCUUAGUGGCGAACGGGUGAGUAACGCGUAAUCAACCUGCCCUUCAGAGGGGGACAACAGUUGGAAACGACUGCUAAUACCGCAUACGAUCUAACCUCGGCAUCGAGGAAAGAUGAAAGGUGGCCUCUAUGUAUAAGCUAUCACUGAAGGAGGGGAUUGCGUCUGAUUAGCUAGUUGGAGGGGUAACGGCCCACCAAGGCGAUGAUCAGUAGCCGGUCUGAGAGGAUGAACGGCCACAUUGGGACUGAGACACGGCCCAGACUCCUACGGGAGGCAGCAGUGGGGAAUCUUCCGCAAUGGACGAAAGUCUGACGGAGCAACGCCGCGUGAGUGAUGACGGCCUUCGGGUUGUAAAGCUCUGUUAAUCGGGACGAAAGGCCUUCUUGCGAAUAGUGAGGAGGAUUGACGGUACCGGAAUAGAAAGCCACGGCUAACUACGUG
This 510-nucleotide ribosomal RNA is filed under the name uncultured bacterium. RNAcentral describes it as "partial 16S ribosomal RNA". It matches the Rfam family "Bacterial small subunit ribosomal RNA", at positions 28 to 507 of the family's 1533-position model. The record is from RNAcentral.